AAAUGUUGAAUGUCCGCGUUUGUUGACACUCUUACAAUUCAAUGGACUGACAGUUGACAUUGUUGUAAGAGAGAAAAUAUCUGAUAAUAUCUGUAAGAGGGCAAACAUAUACAGUACACCAAGUUUUGACUUAAAAUGACUUAUAUUACCCCUUACCGGGAUAAGCCAUUUCUGGGGAUAUCUAGAGACAACCGAGUCCAGGUUUUGUUGUAUCCAAGUAUUUAUUUAUUUAUUUAUUUUAUUUAUUAGUUUCGCCAUAUUACAAUACACAAAACUAUUACAAGAACAAGAAUAAUAGACAUGACUCAAGGCAGGGUGACCGCAACAGCGUGAGUCAAUUACUGCGGGCCCGAAUUAGGACAUACAAACAUAAAAAAACUAUCUAAAUAAAACUAUAACUAAUAGCAACACCUAAGAGGCUGAACCAGAGUUCGAGCGGUAUUACACUUGGUACAUAUAGUUUUGAAUGUUCUUGGAUUUUCAGGAUCGUAGGAAAUUUCCAGAGCACGGAAGUAAUAACUUAGAAUAGUGGAUUUAAAUGAGUUCAAAUUUAUCAUGUUAAGUUUCAGUUCGUCAGCUAGGCUGUUCCACACCCUGGUUCUUCGAAUUAGAAACGAGCGUUGAUGCGUCGUUGUUUUGCUCCUGGGAAUGACAAACUUAGGAAUGUCCGUGUUUAUAGACGAUCUGGUCGGUCUGGAGCUUCGGGUUUUUGGUACUACAGAAGGUUCUAUUAUUACCAGAUUGUUUACGAUUUAAAAAAAAAAAAAAAAAAUCCAAAAACUCAUGCCAGUAACAUAAUGGAAGUAAUGAUAAAGACUGUAAUCGCGAGGUAUAACUGUCUGGACUGGAAAACGGCAGAUUGAGAAUAAAUUUCGUGGCACGCCUUUGAACUUUUUCCAAUCUUGCAAUUAGGUUGAUGGACUGUGGCGACCAGAUCUGGGUGGCAUAUCCUAAGUGAGGGCGUACUAAUGUUAAAUACAAUGCCCUCCUCACGCUGGUACGUGUUUUGAAUGAACCGUGCGUUCCGUCUGAUAUAACCUAGCAACUUGUUAGCACGGGAAGAUUGUUCUACUACUUGAUUAUUCCAGGUGAGAUCAGUUGACAUCCAGACACCAAGAUCUCGUUCCGAUUUUGUCAUUUCUAGAGUUUCACCCUUCAUCUUGUAUGUAGUCACCACUGGCUUCGUUUUACGAGUGAUAGACAGCGACCGACAUUUACUUUGAUUGAAGGGGAGACCGGAAGUCGAAGACCAGGAUUCUAAGUUGGACAAGUCCUGUUGGAGUAAUUUCGUAUCGUUUAUUGAUGCGAUAGACUUAAAUAUUUUCGUAUCAUCUGCGAACAUAGCGACUUGACUGGAUUUGACGAGACCGGGUACUGCGGGUAGGUCAUGAACAUAUAAGAGGAAUAAUAUGGGACCUAGUAUGGAGCCUUGAGGUACCCAGGUAUCGUUAACACAGACGACGUCGGAGCUUUCCGCAUAUACCAGAUCUUGAAAACGAUUGAGAUUGUAUAUUGUUUUAUUGGUCACUACGUCUCGGUUGAAGCUCUUCAGACUCCUUGCAUUAAGCAGUAAGC
Molecule: non-coding RNA, 1575 nt
Organism: Paramuricea clavata
Lineage: Eukaryota; Metazoa; Cnidaria; Anthozoa; Malacalcyonacea; Plexauridae
Source: the annotation of a GenBank genome assembly